Podarcis lilfordi (Lilford's wall lizard) is the source of this 73-nucleotide non-coding RNA. NCBI's taxonomy places the organism in Eukaryota, Metazoa, Chordata, Lepidosauria, Squamata, Lacertidae. The record is from the annotation of a GenBank genome assembly.
UGAGUAGUUCAGUUGGUAGAGCAUGAGACUCUUAAUCCCAGGAUUGUGCGUUCAAGUCCCACAUUUGGCAAAA